CUCCGCGUUCAAAUCCCAAAACUGCCCCCCCCCCGGCUGGGUGACCCUGGGCCCCUCCCUCAGGUCCCUCGUGGAAAGAUAAGGAUGCGUGAGUGUUGUGCGGAGCCGACAGAGCCGCACGCUAGACACUGCCAGACCCGCACCGCUUCUCCCCUGCUUAAAGUGACCCAUGAAACGGCGGCAGGGCCACUGCCGUCGGCGGUGAGGGGUGGGGAGGAGAGCAGGCUCCGGCUCCCCCCUCCUCACCCCGGCUGCCUCCAGGAAGCCCUAAGAUGCUCCUUAUUAUCUUGGAGCAGGGACGGCCUCGCUGAGCGCGAGCCUGCAUCCGAACACCGGGAAGGAAAAGAAGGGGCAGUCUGACGCGACCAAGGGACCGGGGAGGAAGCCAGAGGAGCGGGCACGCCGCAGCGGCAGCGGCGCCGGCCGAGGCCCGCAGUCCCCGGCCCCCCGGCCCCCCGGCCCCCCGGCUCCAGCCGGCCCGCCGCGAGACCAGGGCUGACCACCAGGGGGCGGUGCGGCCCUGCUUUGCGGGCGGGGCCUUCCCGGAGCGUCUCAGACCUCCGGGCUCGCAGCGGCGACAGAAAACGGCGCGCGCGUCAGUCAGGCAAACCCCCGCGUCGUAUCUGACGGGCACUUCCAGGUGAAUCCAAAGAACUCCCUUUCUCCGGAAAUCCCCUCAGAAGCCACCCCGCAGCGUGCUCGCGUGCCUCCAUCAUCGUGAAAGCCGAGUUAACCGCGGCUCCCUGCAACCCCUGUUAACCGCGGCGAUCCCGCAGCCCCGUGACGUCAUGCUGCCGGUCCCCCGACGGCCGAGGGGCAGCUCCUUCCCACUGCCUUUGGCACUCGGCAGUCGCUUCCAUCUUGUCGGUCACAUGGUUGAAGAACUGAAUUUAGAAAUGAAACGGCAUUGGCAACGCAAGCCCAGGCUCAGCGCCUGACGAUUAGCCGCGGCGUCUCCGCCCAUCGCACGCCCUCUAGCGGCCACAGCGAGGCCUGGCCGUCUGCGGCACCUUUGACCUUUGACCCUUGACCCGGCACAAGUGGGCUUCAUUUAUCAAAAGAACUGGGACCGUCUCCAGGCGCUGCCCAGCUCUCGGCUUGCUCUGGGAGUUGCUUCGCAGUAAUGUCUCUUCUCCAGCGGGUUUACCUGACUUUGGAGAGAAGAAGAGUUCCGGUCCGCACAAGACGGCCAGGUCUAUUUUUAACCAACUGGCCAAAGACGCAGGAUUCCUGGGGUGGACAUCCAGGUUCCCCCUGAUGAAGUCCUGGGGACAGGAAGUGCGAGCCUCUGCACCCCCCCAGCCCCAGCCCUGCAUCUGGCCCCAGAGGCACCCAGAAUCCGGGCAGCAAACAGGAAGAAGCACUUCUGUGUCAACGUCAGAAGCAGUUUCUGCCUGAGGGUCACUUCUGAGUCCAUCUCCACUGUGGCCACCGUCACAUGGCGCAUGGAGGCCUCUUGAGAAUUGUGCUCCACACCCUGUGAACCUCACUGAAAGUCAUUCUUCACAGGCACGCCCGCCCGGAGGAAAAUCCUGCCAAGUCUGUGAGCCCAAUGAGGACCUCAUGUUUAUCUUCAAAGGCUAAAAGAUAAGUAGAUAUUGCAUUUUGCCACACACUCCUCCCUAGGGAGGGGCAUUAAGGCUGAGGCUCUUUCCAGCUGACACCUUUUCCUACUCGUUGUCCUGAGAAGCUACUAUUGGCGGGAACAGCCCCCUGUAAACUUUUCCACCAUAAUGAGAGAAACUCUUACUACAUACCAUGAAGUUGUUUUAAGAAACCUGUCUGUUGGCGUGGGGGACUUGGCCCAGGAAGCACACAAACUACUCCUGUCUUUAGAUUCCCAAGCUAAAGUGUUCAUGAGCCACCUACAAGCCCUAGAUCACCUGCUGACAGGACAAGAUGGAAAUGUGGAGUGAGCGAUAAAGCUUGCCAGGCUUAUGUUCACAACAGUGGGCUGAUAGACAAAGAUAGCCAAAGGCUCUAUGCUCAAGCCAAGUGGUCCCACGAUUUUGGUAAGGGAAGUCCCCCCAGCUUCCACCAUCUGGGAAAAAGUGCUCUCCUUCUCAGGCAUGGCUCUUACUCUUGGUCCUUCUUUGCCUGAUUGUCAAAUCUGUCUCCUCUAGAAUUUGGUUUCUUGCAGAAAUGCUGAUGAAGCAGGCAUUCCACCCUUUGCCAAUGAGUGGUGUGGAACCUCUAGCUCCAUACAUGGUCCCUCUAGAUCAGAGAGCAAGGGAUUUUUGUUCCCUUGCACGAACAACGCCCUGACACAGCAGAAAGGAGUUACAGAAUAAUGAACAUCACUCCUCAACCUCCCCUAAAGAGUAAAGAACAAAAAUCUAAGGGUGGAGACGACGUAUGCGGGGAGGCAGUGAGGAGCCGAGGGCUGCCAGCGUCCGCAGGACAGCCCUGCAGGCACCGCCCCAAACCCCGCCCCCUUCCAUGUAGCUGUUGGGCUGGUGCCCGCCAGAAAUAUCCAACGUGGCUGCAGGCUCUGCACACCGACGGCCUUCAUGCAACUGAACGGUUAAAAUUGCAUUGUUGGCCGGCGCCGCGGCUCA
Non-coding RNA from Oryctolagus cuniculus (rabbit), 2558 nucleotides. NCBI's taxonomy places the organism in Eukaryota, Metazoa, Chordata, Mammalia, Lagomorpha, Leporidae. The record is from RefSeq and is a predicted model, not a curated record.